UACGUAGGUGGCGAGCGUUGUCCGGAUUUACUGGGCGUAAAGAGCGCGCAGGCGGCCAAGUCAGUCGAAUGUGAAAGCCCCCGGCUUAACUGGGGAGGGUCAUUCGAUACUGCUCGGCUCGAAGACAGGAGAGGGAAGUGGAAUUCCCGGUGUAGUGGUGAAAUGCGUAGAUAUCUGGAGGAAUACCGGUGGCGAAGGCGGCAUCCUGGACCAUAACUGACGCUGAGGCGCGAAAGCUAGGGGAGCAAACGGG
Molecule: ribosomal RNA, 253 nt
Filed under: uncultured bacterium
Lineage: Bacteria
Description: partial 16S ribosomal RNA
Rfam family: Bacterial small subunit ribosomal RNA
Source: RNAcentral